GAUGAACGCUGGCGGCGUGCCUAAUACAUGCCAGUCGAGCGAACAGAUAAGAAGCUUGUUCCUUUGACGUUAGCGGCGGACGGGUGAGUAACACGUGGGUAACCUACCUAUAAGACUGGGAUAACUUCGGGAAACCGGAGCUAAUACCGGAUAAUAUUUCUAACCGCAUGGUUCGAUUGUGAAAGAUGGUUUUGCUAUCACUUAUAGAUGGACCCGCGCCGUAUUAGCUAGUUGGUAAGGUUACGGCUUACCAAGGCGACGAUACGUAGCCGACCGGAAAGGGGGAUCGGCCACACGGGAGCGGGGACGCGGACCAGACUCCUACGGGAGGCAGCAGAAGGGAAUCUGCCGCAAUGGGCGAAAGCCUGACGGAGCAGCGCCGCGUGAGUGAUGGAGGUCUUCGGAGCGUAAAACUCUGUUAUUAGGGAAGAACAUACGUGUAAGUAACUGUGCACGUCUUGACGGUACCUAAUCAGAAAGCCACGGCUAACUACGUG
This 497-nucleotide ribosomal RNA is filed under the name uncultured bacterium. RNAcentral's name for it is "partial 16S ribosomal RNA". It matches the Rfam family "Bacterial small subunit ribosomal RNA", at positions 28 to 507 of the family's 1533-position model. The record is from RNAcentral.